RNAcentral lists this long non-coding RNA (456 nucleotides) under Homo sapiens (human). RNAcentral's name for it is "HSALNT0369649". Lineage: Eukaryota; Metazoa; Chordata; Mammalia; Primates; Hominidae. The record is from RNAcentral.
UUAUGUAAUGGAAUUGAAUGAAGCAAGUGUCAGAUCUACAUCUCUACAAACACUCACUUUAUCAGUUCAGAGAAUAAAGAGAUGAAUUUAAUAAUGCCACUGGACACUUAUACUCUAUCGGAUCCUAAUAAUUUCUCACACUAAUGAAUUCUUCUAUCAACUUCAUGUUAAUCAAGAGGAGACAGAGCCAAGAAGUGAGUAAUUGCUUACUGAAUUGUGAAAGCUGGGAUGAUUUAACUACAGCCUCCCUAGAAUGUGACAGUCCACAGAAAUAUCUGAUUUCAAAGAGAUGCUUGCAUUCUGUACUGAUGCCAUCUAGAAUUGUAAAUGACCAGUGUCACACUGCUAAGUGGAGAAAGCGUGAAAGAAGAAUCCCAUCAGUACAUUCACGAUAGAGGAAAUAAGAAACAAUGAAAGCCACAAGUAAGUCCUGAGUUGAUCAACAGUAUUGCACUU